GCUGGCGGCGUGCCUAACACAUGCAAGUCGAACGAGAAAGUGGAGCAAUCCAUGAGUACAGUGGCGUACGGGUGAGUAACACGUGACUAACCUACCCACGAGUGGGGAAUAACUUCGGGAAACCGAGGCUAAUACCGCAUAAUGUCUACGGACCAAAUGCGCAAGCAGCUUGAGGAGGGGGUCGCGGCUGAUUAGCUUGUUGGCGGGGUAACGGCCCAUCAAGGCAAUGAUCAGUAGCCGGCCUGAGAGGGCGCACGGCCACACUGGAACUGAAACACGGUCCAGACUCCUACGGGAGGCAGCAGUGGGGAAUUUUGCGCAAUGGGGGAAACCCUGACGCAGCAACGCCGCGUGGAGGAUGAAGCCCCUUGGGGUGUAAAUUCCUUUCGAUCGGGACGAUUAUGACGGUACCGGAUGAAGAAGCACCGGCUAACUCUGUGCCAGCAGCCGCGGUAAUACAGAGGGUGCAAGCGUUGUUCGGAAUUAUUGGGCGUAAAGGGUGCGUANGCGGUGCGGUAAGUCUUCUGUGAAACCUCCGGGCU
Molecule: ribosomal RNA, 542 nt
Filed under: uncultured bacterium
Lineage: Bacteria
Description: bacterial SSU rRNA
Rfam family: Bacterial small subunit ribosomal RNA
Source: RNAcentral